RNAcentral lists this ribosomal RNA (458 nucleotides) under uncultured bacterium. RNAcentral's name for it is "partial 16S ribosomal RNA". It matches the Rfam family "Bacterial small subunit ribosomal RNA", at positions 338 to 795 of the family's 1533-position model. The record is from RNAcentral.
CCUACGGGCGGCAGCAGUGAGGAAUAUUGGUCAAUGGGCGAGAGCCUGAACCAGCCAAGUCGCGUGAGGGAGUACUGCCCUAUGGGUUGUAAACCUCUUUUGUCGGGGAGCAAAAGCCGGACGUGUACGGCUGUGAGAGUACCCGAAGAAAAAGCAUCGGCUAACUCCGUGCCAGCAGCCGCGGUAAUACGGAGGAUGCGAGCGUUAUCCGGAUUUAUGGGGUUGAAAGGAUGCGCAGGUGGAUUUUUAAGUCAGCGGUCAAAUCGUGGGGCUAAACCCCAUCCAGCCGUUGAAACUGGGGAUCUAGAGUGUGCGAGAGGUAUGCGGAAUGCGUGGUGUAGCGGUGAAAUGCAUAGAUAUCACGCAGAACCCCGAUUGCGAAGGCAGCAUACCGGUGCACAACUGACGCUCAGGCACGAAAGCGUGGGUAUCGAACAGGAUUAGAUACCCCAGUAGUC